RNAcentral lists this ribosomal RNA (253 nucleotides) under uncultured microorganism. RNAcentral's name for it is "partial 16S ribosomal RNA". It matches the Rfam family "Bacterial small subunit ribosomal RNA", at positions 524 to 776 of the family's 1533-position model. The record is from RNAcentral.
UACGGAGGGUGCGAGCGUUGUUCGGAUUUACUGGGCGUAAAGGGCGCGUAGGCGGUUUGGCAAGUCAGGUGUGAAAUCCUUCCGCUCAACGGAAGAAGUGCAUUUGAAACUGCCAAGCUAGAGUAUGGGAGAGGAGAGCGGAAUUCCCGGUGUAGAGGUGAAAUUCGUAGAUAUCGGGAGGAACACCCGUGGCGAAGGCGGCUCUCUGGCCCAAUACUGACGCUGAGGCGCGAAAGCGUGGGGAGCAAACAGG